UACGUAGGGACCGAGCGUUGUUCGGAUUUACUGGGCGUAAAGGGCGCGUAGGCGGCGCGGUAAGUCACUUGUGAAAUCUCUGAGCUUAACUCAGAACGGCCAAGUGAUACUGCAGUGCUAGAGUGUGGAAGGGGCAAUCGGAAUUCUUGGUGUAGCGGUGAAAUGCGUAGAUAUCAAGAGGAACACCUGAGGUGAAGACGGGUUGCUGGGCCAACACUGACGCUGAGGCGCGAAAGCCAGGGGAGCAAACGGG
This 253-nucleotide ribosomal RNA is filed under the name uncultured bacterium. Its description in RNAcentral is "partial 16S ribosomal RNA". It matches the Rfam family "Bacterial small subunit ribosomal RNA", at positions 524 to 776 of the family's 1533-position model. The record is from RNAcentral.